This is a long non-coding RNA of Drosophila willistoni, 341 nucleotides long. RefSeq lists it as uncharacterized. The record is from RefSeq and is a predicted model, not a curated record. The transcript has 3 exons. NCBI's taxonomy places the organism in Eukaryota, Metazoa, Arthropoda, Insecta, Diptera, Drosophilidae.
CAACGAGGACACGGGACCCACCAGUCGCAUAGUCAAGCGCAGCAGCCACAGUCGCAUAUAUUGCAAGGCAGUAGUAGUUCACUCCGCGAAUUUUUGUUGUGCUUGUGAAGCAUCAAACGUGCCCUGAUUUAACUUGCUCCGGUUUGGGGCAUACGCGUGUGGAAUGAAAGCUCCAAACUGGCACAUCAAUUUUGGUUUUCUUACCCGCCACCGGGCGCUGGCGGAGGUUCUUCUAUUUCUAUUCAAAUGUCGCCAAAUAUUGAUGAAUGAACCAAAAUCAUUUAGAGACUACUACUAAGUUUAACUAACCAUUACAAUCGACACACACCACCGACAACAAU